GGCAAUAACAAAGAUCUGGCAUUUCCCACUGCCAGGCAGCACCAGCUCUGUCCAAGUGCUCCUUCCUGCAGGGCUGCAAUCUCUUCAGCAGCGCAGAGGAGGAAAAUCUGACUGCUCUGUAAGGAUUCAUGAUCCCUCACCUCGAGGUGUGCGGGUGAUGUCAGCCGGCUGGCUCCUCUCUCCCUGCAGCAGCAUCCCUAACGACUGCCUUCGAUGCCUGAAAAGUCAUAAUCCCCACAGCAGAGACUUUAACAGCCAAACUCCCAGAACUGACACCAGCUUGAGAGGGGGAAACACCUGCAGUCACC
Oenanthe melanoleuca is the source of this 308-nucleotide long non-coding RNA. RefSeq lists it as uncharacterized. The record is from RefSeq and is a predicted model, not a curated record. The transcript has 3 exons. NCBI's taxonomy places the organism in Eukaryota, Metazoa, Chordata, Aves, Passeriformes, Muscicapidae.